AUCAGCAAAAACGCCAUAGGAGGUCUGGAAUAAGCUGGUUUUUCAUAUUUUUGAAUCAUAUCGAGAACCCGAAACAAGUCGAGGAAAAGAAAAAGUAGCCGAUUAGUCCCUGAACUUUUACAAAUUCUGCAAAUCGAUCCAGGUAAGUUCAUAUGGCUGAAAUUUAAUGAUUAAAUGUUAAUUUCAUGAAUUAUACAAUGUAUGGUGAAAUGUAUUUAUUGUUGAAAUGAGAAUAAAAUAAAAAUGUGAAAAUCGAAUAAAUGAUCAAAUUAAGUGGAACGUCGAAUUUGAGUACUUCUGAUCAAGUGACAAAGUGAUAAGUGGUAGUUUUAGCUACACUUAUCUGAUCAAGAAACAAAGUGAUAAGUGGUUACACUUAUCUGAUCAAGAAACAAAGUGAUAAGUGGCUACACUUAUCUGAUCAAGUGGUAAAGUGAUAAGUGGUAGCCUAGCUACACUUAUCUGAUCAAGGACAAGUGAUAAGAGGUCAUAUGGCAAAGUGAAAGUGAAGUACUCAAAUUUCCAUAACCGUUCCUUAAUUUUGAUCAAGAAUGGUAAGUGACAAAUGGGCCCAAAGGAAUUAUGGUAAAAGAAUAAGUAGUAGUGAGUUUAUACCAAGGAACUCACCAAAGAUUGUGGUUGACAGGUAAAUUUAGUAAUGGUGUAUAUUGUAUAAGUGUGCAAGUGUUUGGUAAGAUUUAUGUUUUAUGCCUAUGAACUUACUAAGCUUUUCUAUAAGCUUACAUGUGUGUGUUUAUUGUUUUUGUAGAUUAACGUAUUUAUACAUUCGGAGGAUCGGAUCUACAUCAAGAAUCACACUAUCCAGAUAUACUCCGGUAGUUUAUGUUAAGCAACUUUUUGGAUUUAUAUGGCAUGUAUAGGGAAUUGAAGUAAAAGUAAAUUUGAAUGUUAUGGUUGCGUUAGAUAUCGAAAUAUAUACAUGUUUUUAGUUUGAAAUGGUUGAUUGGUUGAACUUAAUUAGUAUUUAAAUGAAGUAGAUGAAAUACUGGA
RNAcentral lists this long non-coding RNA (1011 nucleotides) under Gossypium barbadense (sea-island cotton). RNAcentral describes it as "long non-coding RNA (GBAR_LNC010686)". The record is from RNAcentral. Lineage: Eukaryota; Viridiplantae; Streptophyta; Magnoliopsida; Malvales; Malvaceae.